This 486-nucleotide long non-coding RNA is filed under the name Bos taurus (domestic cattle). RNAcentral describes it as "long non-coding RNA NONBTAT014960". The record is from RNAcentral. Lineage: Eukaryota; Metazoa; Chordata; Mammalia; Artiodactyla; Bovidae.
GUCAAAAUCAUGGUAUGGCCAUGUCACUGUUCUACCUAAAUUCUUAAUUGGCUCCACUAAGGCACAGAAGCAAAUGGAAAUUUUUUUCACCUGUCAAAUACAGCUUUCAUGAUACCACCUUUGCGUAGGUCUCUGGGUUUUUCUCUCUUUAACAUCUGCUGUGUGCUUAAAAUUGCAGCAACAAAGGACAGAGCAUGCCACUUCUCGCCUUCUUAUCUGUGCCCACUAGAUUGUCUAUCUGGAAUGUUCUGUCCAUCUUUCUUUCAUUUCAGAUUCCCUCUAUUUGGAAUGCUCUUUUAAGUCAUCACCAGUAAUGCUCUUUCUCUGAAUAGAUUGGUCUUAUAUUGAAUUAUAAAUGUAAUGUUCUUUUUCUGUCCAACUUAACCUACUUGACCAUGACAUGCCUUCAGAACACAGGAUGAAUGUGUGAGUGAGUUUGGCUGCAAGCCACAAAACUCAACUCUGAAUAAAUGAGUCAAGUGAAAA